RNAcentral lists this ribosomal RNA (530 nucleotides) under uncultured bacterium. Its description in RNAcentral is "bacterial SSU rRNA". It matches the Rfam family "Bacterial small subunit ribosomal RNA", at positions 791 to 1315 of the family's 1533-position model. The record is from RNAcentral.
UAGUCCACGCGGUAAACGAUGAGAACUUGUUAUUGGGGGUAUUGACCCCUCCAGUGACGUAGCUAACGCGUUAAGUUCUCCGCCUGGGGAGUACGGUCGCAAGACUAAAACUCAAAGGAAUUGACGGGGGGCCCGCACAAGCGGUGGAUUAUGUGGUUCAAUUCGAAGCAACGCGAAAAACCUUACCUGGGCUUGAAAUCCUACGAACGAUCUAGAGAUAGAUUGGUGCCCUUCGGGGAAUGUAGUGACAGGUGCUGCAUGGCUGUCGUCAGCUCGUGUUGUGAAAUGUUGGGUUAAGUCUCGCAACGAGCGCAACCCCUAUUCGUUAGUUGCCAGCAUUAAGUUGGGCGACUCUAAUGAGACUGCCCGGGUUAACCGGGAGGAAGGUGGGGGAUGACGUCAAGUCCUCAUGGCCCUUAUGUCCAGGGCUACACACGUAAUACAAUGGUGCAUACAGAGGGAAGCGAACUCGCGAGGGUAAGCCAAUCCCAAAAAGCAAUCCUAAGUUCGGAUUGGAGUCUGCAACUCGA